Schistosoma rodhaini is the source of this 48-nucleotide non-coding RNA. The record is from Rfam. NCBI's taxonomy places the organism in Eukaryota, Metazoa, Platyhelminthes, Trematoda, Strigeidida, Schistosomatidae.
AUCCGGCUGAUAAGUCCUAAAUAAGACUAAACGCGUGUCAAACUGGAU